RNAcentral lists this ribosomal RNA (1243 nucleotides) under Candidatus Phytoplasma solani. RNAcentral describes it as "bacterial SSU rRNA". It matches the Rfam family "Bacterial small subunit ribosomal RNA", at positions 153 to 1399 of the family's 1533-position model. The record is from RNAcentral. Lineage: Bacteria; Bacillati; Mycoplasmatota; Mollicutes; Acholeplasmatales; Acholeplasmataceae.
GAAACGACUGCUAAGACUGGAUAGGAGAUAAGAAGGCAUCUUUUUAUUUUUAAAGACCUAGCAAUAGGUAUGCUUAGGGAAGAGCUUGCGUCACAUUAGUUAGUUGGUGGGGUAAUGGCCUACCAAGACGAUGAUGUGUAGCCGGGCUGAGAGGUCGAACGGCCACAUUGGGACUGAGACACGGCCCAAACUCCUACGGGAGGCAGCAGUAAGGAAUUUUCGGCAAUGGAGGAAACUCUGACCGAGCAAUGCCGCGUGAACGAUGAAGUAUUUCGGUACGUAAAGUUCUUUUAUUAGGGAAGAAAAGAUGGUGGAAAAACCAUUAUGACGGUACCUAAUGAAUAAGCCCCGGCUAACUAUGUGCCAGCAGCCGCGGUAAUACAUAGGGGGCAAGCGUUAUCCGGAAUUAUUGGGCGUAAAGGGUGCGUAGGCGGUUAAAUAAGUUUAUGGUCUAAGUGCAACGCUCAACGUUGUGAUGCUAUAAAAACUGUUUAGCUAGAGUUGGAUAGAGGCAAGUGGAAUUCCGUGUGUAGUGGUAAAAUGCGUAAAUAUACGGAGGAACACCAGAAGCGAAGGCGGCUUGCUGGGUCUUAACUGACGCUGAGGCACGAAAGCGUGGGGAGCAAACAGGAUUAGAUACCCUGGUAGUCCACGCCCUAAACGAUGAGUACUAAACGUUGGAUAAAACCAGUGUUGAAGUUAACACAUUAAGUACUCCGCCUGAGUAGUACGUACGCAAGUAUGAAACUUAAAGGAAUUGACGGGACUCCGCACAAGCGGUGGAUCAUGUUGUUUAAUUCGAAGGUACCCGAAAAACCUCACCAGGUCUUGACAUGCUUUUGCAAAGCUGUAGAAAUACAGUGGAGGUUAUCAGAAGCACAGGUGGUGCAUGGUUGUCGUCAGCUCGUGUCGUGAGAUGUUGGGUUAAGUCCCGCAACGAGCGCAACCCUUGUUGUUAAUUGCCAUCAUUAAGUUGGGGACUUUAGCAAGACUGCCAAUGAUAAAUUGGAGGAUGGUGGGGACGACGUCAAAUCAUCAUGCCCCUUAUGACCUGGGCUACAAACGUGAUACAAUGGCUGUUACAAAGGGUAGCUAAAGCGUAAGCUUCUGGCGAAUCUCAAAAAAGCAGUCUCAGUUCGGAUUGAAGUCUGCAACUCGACUUCAUGAAGUUGGAAUCGCUAGUAAUCGCGAAUCAGCAUGUCGCGGUGAAUACGUUCUCGGGGUUUGUACACACCGCCCGUCA